UGUUCAGAGUCACGGAUACCAUCUAUC
RNAcentral lists this small RNA (27 nucleotides) under Bombyx mori (domestic silkworm). Its description in RNAcentral is "ovarian small RNA-9174". The record is from RNAcentral. Lineage: Eukaryota; Metazoa; Arthropoda; Insecta; Lepidoptera; Bombycidae.